This 433-nucleotide ribosomal RNA is filed under the name uncultured bacterium. RNAcentral's name for it is "partial 16S ribosomal RNA". It matches the Rfam family "Bacterial small subunit ribosomal RNA", at positions 29 to 507 of the family's 1533-position model. The record is from RNAcentral.
AACGAACGCUGGCGGCAUGCCUAACACAUGCAAGUCGAACGAUACCUUCGGGUCUAGUCGCGCACGGGUGCGUAACGCGUGGGAACCUGCCCUUAGGUUCGGAAUAACUCCCCGAAGGGGGUGCUAAUACCGGAGAAUGUCUUCGGACCAAAGAUUUAUCGCCUUUGUAUGGGCCGGCGUUGGAUUAGCUAGUUGGUAGGGUAAACGCGUCCCAAGGCGACGAUCCAUAGCUGGUCAGAGAGGAUGAGCAGCCACACUGGGGGUGAGACACGGCCGAGAAUACUGCGGGAGGGAGCAGAGGGGAAUAUUGGACAACGGGGGAAAGCAUGAACGAGCAAGGCUGGGUGAGUGAUGAAGGCGUUAGGGAUGUAAAGCUGGUUAAUCCGGGAGGAUAAUGACAGUACCGGGAGAAGAAGCACCGGCUAACUCCGUG